AAUUUGUAUUUGUUUAUGCACUCUGAUUUUCAGUUCUUUGUGUAUAAAUUUAGCUGUGGGUGGAGUAUCCUGAGCCAGAUUCCUGCCUAUAUGCUAUACGUAAAGGAUUACAGAAAGGCAGACAUGAUUCUGUGUUAGAUUGACAAGGAAUUGCAUUUCCCAGCAAAUGCUGGAUCAGAGCCAUCUGUUUCAGAAAUUAGCAUAGCAGCAAUUUGUUUGUUUGGCUUCAUCUGUCUAUUAGUUUGGUCCAAAUUCUCUUGUUUUGGAGACAUGCUAUCACAUAGGGAAAAGAUCUGUGAUACACUCUGUGCAGGCAACCCCUAAAAUACAUGAAUUAUUCUAAACAGAGGAGAUAUGAAAUGUCGUUGUCAGAAAUCCAGACAAAGCUAAAGUAAGAUUAUUUGUUUUCCUGUAAACAAGUUUGACUUUCUCACAGCACUCUUAUAUUAAAUCAUCUGCCCCCCUUCCCAGUGUCCUAGUCUCGGAGUGCUUCUUUCCUACCCAAAGCCCAAAGUAGUGUUGCUGUACUUUUAGGUGCACUGGAUAUUUUCCUGGUGUUUAUUUUGACAGCAUGAUGGAAAAUCCUUCCUGACUUACAGCCUCUACAACUUCUGAAGAGGUACUGAUACUCUUAAAAACUGAGAAGUCCAGCUGCAAACAACAGUCAGGAAAAGAGCAUCAAUCCAUUAAAUGAUAAGAAAAAUGAGUCGUGUGUUGAAGGCAGUGAAAGUGAGGCGAAGUCUCAGCUCAGAGGACGUGAGUGCUCAUUCUACACCUGCGCUAGAGAUCACCUGUGUUCUCUGUGUCUCUACCUGAGCACCCUGCUCACCACUCUCCUCCCACCGCCCGCCCCGUUCCUUUGUCUCCUCGGAGCCACCAACAAUGGGAUCUGCUUGUUUGGAUUCAGUUUGGAAACCUGGGCUGAAUGGAGGGCGGGAGCUGCCAAUGAGAAGCGCUUACCCAGGUCACUGCUAAAAUCUCAACACCCAGGGCAGAGCUGUGCUCGCAUCACCUGAUGAUGAAACGGCGGCAGCAGCCGAAGUCAGACAGUGACAACAUCUGGUGGCUUCUCUGUGCUGUCAGAGCAGGACGAGGAAAUUGCCCGCUCAGAGGAUGCUUUGUGAAUCGAUACACGGGUAAUGCACACCACGGUGUUUGGAACAAAUAGCAAGUGUCAGAAGUAAAUAGUUCUGUAUUUUAAGCAAUGGAAAGAGAGUGUAAGUGCUUUUCCAGGGUAAGUGUAGAAAGCCAUUACAAAGCUUAUCUUUGCAACUGACCUAUAAAAGUUAUAAACACAUCAAAGGCUUUGAGGACAUCAGAUACAAACUUUAAUUCUUCCCACAGUCAAAACUCCCAUGAAGUCAAUGUCCCAGGAUCACUACUGAGGAGUAUGUUCAGUAAUGCUAAUGGAACUCAGACUUCCAUGGACACCUUCAUUCACAACUGGAAUUUAAUUCAAGUUGCAAUUUAUUAAAUAGUGAUUUCUUGUGAUGAUUUUCUCUCUAAAUCCUUGGAUGUAAGGCAACACAAUUUUUUAGAAUAUAAUUUCUUGGAGGUUUUAUUAUUACGGAAUAAAGAACUUAAAAAUGUA
Vidua chalybeata is the source of this 1591-nucleotide long non-coding RNA. RefSeq lists it as uncharacterized. The transcript is spliced from 2 exons. The record is from RefSeq and is a predicted model, not a curated record. NCBI's taxonomy places the organism in Eukaryota, Metazoa, Chordata, Aves, Passeriformes, Viduidae.